RNAcentral lists this ribosomal RNA (253 nucleotides) under uncultured bacterium. Its description in RNAcentral is "partial 16S ribosomal RNA". It matches the Rfam family "Bacterial small subunit ribosomal RNA", at positions 524 to 776 of the family's 1533-position model. The record is from RNAcentral.
UACGUAGGGGGCAAGCGUUGUCCGGAUUUAUUGGGCGUAAAGAGCGCGCAGGCGGUCCGUUAAGUCUGGCGUGAAAUCUCCCGGCUCAACUGGGAGGGGUCGUCGGAGACUGGCGGACUGGAGGGCAGGAGAGGGAAGUGGAAUUCCGGGUGUAGUGGUGAAAUGCGUAGAUAUCCGGAGGAACACCGGUGGCGAAGGCGGCUUCCUGGACUGUACCUGACGCUGAGGCGCGAAGGCUAGGGGAGCGAACGGG